CAGGGUGACAAUAUACAGCCUUGACGCACUCCUUUUCCUAUUUAGGACCAAUUGGAGAAAGCCAAACAAGCUUCCCUAAGCCAUCACACACGAAGACGCACUGCUAGUUAGCCGGCCUCCAACUUUCAUACUCCACACUCAGAGCCCACCCGAGGCCCUCUCCUCCCCUUGGCAGGCCGGCCUUUGAGCCUUUGCCAAACACCCGCUGUGGCCGACUCCCCUGCUCUAGCGGGCUCUGUGAAAACGUCUUCCGUGCUCCUCGGCAGGUGGUCUCUCUCGACUUCCACACCCAGACGCCAAAGGCCACUGUGCUGCCGCCGCGAGGUGUAACGUCUGCUGCGGCAACUGGAGAAACUGCCACCUGAGCGAGAAAAACCGCCACCGGCGCGCGACUUUCUGGGAGUUGUAGUUCCUCGCGCCCAGCGGGCGCACUUCCGCCACCUACCGGAAGUGCCGCCAAUAGUCGCGCGCUCAGCUGAACCUGGCCGGGGAACCAGCGCGGAGGCUCCCCUGUGCCCCACAGCCCUGCCGAGUUCAGUACGUGGACACAGUUCUUCCACUGAAUUUUUUCAGCAGAGAACAGCAAAGAUGGUAAGAACUAUGGAAACAUUAAUCAUAGCUUGUCUCUUAAUGAACACAAGCCAACGCAUUUGGAGAGUCAGUUCAGUUGUGACAAAUGCCUUGAACAGACUGAAAUAAGUCAUCCUGGAGAGGCACUACUCACAUAUAAGGACGACUGUGAUGCCUCCCACAUGGCCUCAUCUUUUACUUACUGUGACAUCAUUUAGACUGGAAAGAAGCCAUAUGAAUGUAAACAGUGUACAAGAUCUUUCAGCUGUUGCUCUAAGCUUGUACACCAGAGAACACACUGGAGAAAAGCCCUAUGAAUGUACUUGAUGUGGAAAGUCUUUCAGGCAGAGCUAUGACCUUGUAGUACACCAGAAAACUCACAUGGGAGAAAAACCCAACGAAUGUAAUCAAUGUGGAAAAUCCUUCAUCCAGAGUUCCAAACUCAUUAGGCAUCAAUGAACUCACACUGGAGAAAAACCAUAUACAUGUCGUGAAUGUGGAAAAUCUUUCAGGUGGAACUCUAACCUUUUGGUACAUCAAAUAAUUCACACUGCCUUAAAACUUAUGAGUAUGCUCAUUGUGGAAAGUCCUUCAGUCAGAGC
This 1172-nucleotide long non-coding RNA is filed under the name Capra hircus (goat). RNAcentral describes it as "lncRNA (ENSCHIG00010012350.1)". Lineage: Eukaryota; Metazoa; Chordata; Mammalia; Artiodactyla; Bovidae. The record is from RNAcentral.